GCUGCGACACGUGACCAGGCGCGCGCCCCAACGCCGCCUCGCGCAGCCGCGCCUGCUGCUGCUGCUGCUGCUGCUGCUGCUGCUCCCAUCGGCGGCAGAAGAAGAAGGAGAAGAAGCCCCGCCAGGAGCAACAGCAACAGGGUCCAAACGUAGAAAGAGGGGGUGUUAGGAAGCAGCCAUGGCAACUGCAACCGGGGAGGAUGGAGCCCAGAAUUGGUAACACAGAGAUACGGUGUACCCACGCAAAACAGCCCAGAAGGUUUACUAUAAAAUGGCAGAAAACAUGAUCAAGGAAGCAACUUUCCUCAGGCUAAGGGGGUACACUGUGAAAAAAACGAUUUAAGCUGGGAACGCAUUCUGUCUCAGCCCUAGAAGUCAAGGUCACCCAAUGACCCUGCUUGCAAUAUGUAGUGGUGAUACUAUCUUUAAAAUGAUUUUAGACUCAUUCUGUGUGGAUAUACCUAACUUGCAUAUGCCUGCUUGGAAUGUUCUGCUUCAUUGCCUUGAACUAAAGUACUGAAGUACUCCAGGAAA
Molecule: long non-coding RNA, 534 nt
Organism: Anolis sagrei ordinatus
Lineage: Eukaryota; Metazoa; Chordata; Lepidosauria; Squamata; Anolidae
Source: RefSeq, a predicted model, not a curated record